AUUGAACGCUGGCGGCAGGCUUAACACAUGCAAGUCGAGCGGGGGAGGUUGCUUCGGUAACUGACCUAGCGGCGGACGGGUGAGUAAUGCUUAGGAAUCUGCCUAUUAGUGGGGGACAACAUUCCGAAAGGAAUGCUAAUACCGCAUACGUCCUACGGGGGAAAGCAGGGGAUCUUCGGACCUUGCGCUAAUAGAUGAGCCUAAGUCGGAUUAGCUAGUUGGUGGGGUAAAGGCCUACCAAGGCGACGAUCUGUAGCGGGUCUGAGAGGAUGAUCCGCCACACUGGGACUGAGACACGGCCCAGACUCCUACGGGAGGCAGCAGUGGGGAAUAUUGGACAAUGGGCGGAAGCCUGAUCCAGCCAUGCCGCGUGUGUGAAGAAGGCCUUUUGGUUGUAAAGCACUUUAAGCGAGGAGGAGGCUCCUUUAGUUAAUACCUAAAGAGAGUGGACGUUACUCGCAGAAUAAGCACCGGCUAACUCUGUGCCAGCAGCCGCGGUAA
RNAcentral lists this ribosomal RNA (501 nucleotides) under uncultured bacterium. RNAcentral's name for it is "partial 16S ribosomal RNA". It matches the Rfam family "Bacterial small subunit ribosomal RNA", at positions 30 to 523 of the family's 1533-position model. The record is from RNAcentral.